AUUAUUAAAGUUCCGAAGCUCCGAAAUAAUUGAUUUUUGGAAGUUUUAAUUGUUUUUAAUAACAAAAACGUUUUUUUUUUGUUUUUGUCAUUAUUGUGGGGCAACAAAGGUGGCUGAAUUCAGUUCUACAAAAGAUGGCGUAGGAAAAUUUAAAUUAUAUAAUAAUAUUAUAUUAAAUUUUCUACUUUGGUGUUCUAAGCAUUUUCCUAUAAAUAGGGUGCUUAGGUUAGAAUUGAAAAUCACACCAGAAACUGAAGUUUUCUCUCUCUAUAUUAUCGAGCG
Molecule: long non-coding RNA, 282 nt
Filed under: Panax ginseng (ginseng)
Lineage: Eukaryota; Viridiplantae; Streptophyta; Magnoliopsida; Apiales; Araliaceae
Description: long non-coding RNA (PGIN_LNC015932)
Source: RNAcentral